This 428-nucleotide ribosomal RNA is filed under the name uncultured bacterium. RNAcentral's name for it is "bacterial SSU rRNA". It matches the Rfam family "Bacterial small subunit ribosomal RNA", at positions 355 to 775 of the family's 1533-position model. The record is from RNAcentral.
UGGGGAAUAUUGGACAAUGGGCGCAAGCCUGAUCCAGCAACGCCGCGUGGAGGAUGAAGGUCUUCGGAUCGUAAACUCCUGUCAGAUGGGACGAAGGCUCGGCGGCAAAUAGUUGUCGAGCUUGACGGUACCAUCAGAGGAAGCCCCGGCUAACUCCGUGCCAGCAGCCGCGGUAAUACGGAGGGGGCGAGCGUUAUUCGGAAUUAUUGGGCGUAAAGGGCGCGUAGGCGGCCCGGUAAGUCAAAGGUGAAAUCCCUCGGCUCAACUGAGGAACUGCCUUUGAAACUGUCGGGCUUGAGGCCGGGAGGGGGUAGCGGAAUUCCCAGUGUAGCGGUGAAAUGCGUAGAUAUUGGGAGGAACACCAGUGGCGAAGGCGGCUACCUGGACCGGUUCUGACGCUGAUGCGCGAAAGCGUGGGUAGCAAACAG